UACAGAGGGGGCAAGCGUUGUUCGGAAUUACUGGGCGUAAAGCGCGCGUAGGCGGCUUUGCAAGUCGGGUGUGAAAUCCCCAGGCUUAACCUGGGAACUGCAUUCGAGACUGCAUCGCUAGAGUAUCGGAGAGGGAAGUGGAAUUUCAGGUGUAGCGGUGAAAUGCGUAGAUAUCUGAAGGAACAUCAGUGGCGAAAGCGACUUCCUGGACGAAUACUGACGCUCAUGUGCGAAAGCGUGGGGAGCAAACAGG
RNAcentral lists this ribosomal RNA (253 nucleotides) under uncultured bacterium. RNAcentral's name for it is "partial 16S ribosomal RNA". It matches the Rfam family "Bacterial small subunit ribosomal RNA", at positions 524 to 776 of the family's 1533-position model. The record is from RNAcentral.